AGGAAAAAAGGUGCUAAAAUCUGAGAAUAGGACAGAGAAGAGAAGCAGCUUUACAACAACUUAAACUUUACCUAUUAAUUUUCCAUCUGAUACUGAUUUCAACCAGCAUGUCUCCCAGUCUUGAUUUUACUCGAACUUUUGAAAUAGUAAGAAAUGCUGUGAGUGUUUUCCUGCUGAUAGUCAUUUUUUACAUCAUGCAGUACAUUUUUGACAUGCAUUUCUUAUGCUCUUGCAUGCCAGGCCUACAUGUAAAUGGUGUACUGUACCUGGUCCUUCCACCUAUGAUCCUCACCUUUGUUGUCAACAUUCUUGAGCCUUUUCAGCGAAGAAAGGUUUUUUAUAACAUGGACUGUUUAAGCUGUGAGGGCUACACCAGUAAUUUCAGAGGGUAUCUUGCUAAGUCAGUUUUUAAGUAUGUCAGUCUGGCUGCUAUAUGGAUAGCCUCUGUUCUGUUUGAUGGAGACUGGUACUUUUGCCUGAUGACAAAUCUUAACCUGAAUCAGACUGGAAUCCCAUGCAAAGCAAAUCUUACCUAUGAGGAGCAACGCAUUCAAGACAAAUACAUGAAGGAUUCAAAUGACGAUGCCCUUUAUGUCAUCUUUGGUUUUGUGUGUGUUUGGAGCAUCUAUGAAAUGCGAAGAGCUUUUUGUAGAUCAAGACACCAGUGUUGUCCUCCUUACUACAGCGUGGUUUAUGAAGAUCUUCUGGCAGAGGAAGUCAGCAGCCAUUUGAAUGAAAAGCUGAAAAAAAUAGCAGCAGAAAAGGCUGAGGUAAUCUGUAAGCUCUACCUUCAGAAUAUAAGGAGACAUGAACUGACGGAACAAAAUGAAGAAGAUGUUGACAUUUCUGAUACUUGGAAGAUCAUUUCUGCCUCAGAUUUCUACUUGAUGGAAAAUGAAAAAUGUGAAUCAGUUGUGUAAUGGAAGGGAUCAAGUUGGACAGGACACAUGACAGCGCAAAUCAAUAUUCAUUCAUUUUUGUGAUAUAUCUCCUUUAUUCAGAUACCAUUUGUUAAUCUACAAUAACUCUUCAAAUGCAGUAUAUAUGUUUUUUUUGUUUUUUUACAAUUAAACUUCUUUAUACCAGUUUGAUCUUACUAUCUCAGAUUAAUUGUUCUUUUCAUUAACAUAUUGCAUAUUUCU
This is a long non-coding RNA of Oreochromis aureus, 1142 nucleotides long. The record is from Ensembl. NCBI's taxonomy places the organism in Eukaryota, Metazoa, Chordata, Actinopteri, Cichliformes, Cichlidae.